ACUCCCAACCCAUGUGAACUUACCUUUUGUUGCCUCGGCAGAAGUUAUAGGUCUUCUUAUAGCUGCUGCCGGUGGACCAUUAAACUCUUGUUAUUUUAUGUAAUCUGAGCGUCUUAUUUUAAUAAGUCAAAACUUUCAACAACGGAUCUCUUGGUUCUGGCAUCGAUGAAGAACGCAGCGAAAUGCGAUAAGUAAUGUGAAUUGCAGAAUUCAGUGAAUCAUCGAAUCUUUGAACGCACAUUGCGCCCAUUAGUAUUCUAGUGGGCAUGCCUGUUCGAGCGUCAUUUCAACCCUUAAGCCUAGCUUAGUGUUGGGAAUCUACUUCUCUUAGGAGUUGUAGUUCCUGAAAUACAACGGCGGAUUUGUAGUAUCCUCUGAGCGUAGUAAUUUUUUUCUCGCUUUUGUUAGGUGCUAUAACUCCCAGCCGCUAAACCCCCAAUUUUUUGUGGUUGACCUCGGAUCAGGUAGGAAUACCCGCUGAACUUAAGCAUAUCAAUAAGCGGAGGAAAAGAAACCAACAGGGAUUGCCUUAGUAACGGCGAGUGAAGCGGCAACAGCUCAAAUUUGAAAUCUGGCCCUUGGGUCCGAAUUGUAAUUUGUAGAGGAUGAUUUUGGUGCGGUAUCUUCCGAGUUCCUUGGAACAGGACGCCUUAGAGGGUGAGAGCCCCGUACGGUUGAAUGCCUAGCCUCUGUAAAUCUCCUUCGACGAGUCGAGUAGUUUGGGAAUGCUGCUCUAAAUGGGAGGUAAAUUUCUUCUAAAGCUAAAUAUUGGCCAGAGACCGAUAGCGCACAAGUAGAGUGAUCGAAAGAUGAAAAGCACUUUGAAAAGAGGGUUAAAUAGCACGUGAAAUUGUUGAAAGGGAAGGAUUUGUGACCAGACUUUUUCUGGGCGGAUCAUCCGGGGUUCUCUCCGGUGCACUUCGCCCAGUAAAGGCCAGCAUCGGUUUUCGGCGUGGGAUAAAAGCAGUAGGAAUGUGGCUCUCUACGGGGAGUGUUAUAGCCUAUUGUAUAAUACCGCGCU
RNAcentral lists this ribosomal RNA (1021 nucleotides) under Neopestalotiopsis sp. Its description in RNAcentral is "eukaryotic LSU rRNA". The stretch from base 451 to 1021 matches the Rfam family "Eukaryotic large subunit ribosomal RNA", at positions 1 to 582 of the family's 3401-position model. The record is from RNAcentral. Lineage: Eukaryota; Fungi; Ascomycota; Sordariomycetes; Amphisphaeriales; Sporocadaceae.